GCUCCCAUAGCUCAAGCGGAUAGAGCAGAGGUUUCCUAAACCUCAGAUCCCAGUUCAACUCUGGGUGGGGGCUCCA
RNAcentral lists this transfer RNA (76 nucleotides) under candidate division WWE3 bacterium RIFCSPHIGHO2_01_FULL_38_45. RNAcentral's name for it is "tRNA-Arg". It matches the Rfam family "tRNA". From Rfam's summary of the family: Transfer RNA (tRNA) molecules are approximately 80 nucleotides in length. Their secondary structure includes four short double-helical elements and three loops (D, anti-codon, and T loops). The record is from RNAcentral. RNAcentral also lists the same sequence under 5 other names. Lineage: Bacteria; candidate division WWE3.